Molecule: transfer RNA, 69 nt
Filed under: Pseudogastromyzon fasciatus jiulongjiangensis
Lineage: Eukaryota; Metazoa; Chordata; Actinopteri; Cypriniformes; Gastromyzontidae
Also listed under: 3 other names
Description: tRNA-Met
Source: RNAcentral
GACAAGGUCAGCUAAUUAAGCUUUCGGGCCCAUACCCCGAACAUGACGGUUAAACCCCCUCCCUCGUCA